Molecule: long non-coding RNA, 376 nt
Organism: Helianthus annuus (common sunflower)
Lineage: Eukaryota; Viridiplantae; Streptophyta; Magnoliopsida; Asterales; Asteraceae
Exons: 3
Source: RefSeq, a predicted model, not a curated record
UUCCAACCAGAGCCAGGGGAGCUCUCAUGCUCAAAACCCUAAUGUGCAAGGAUUGAUCAAAUCAAGAGGCCAAAUCAAACCCAAAUCAAAAUCCAAGAACAAAUUAGUGAUCACCUUAGUGAAGUGAUCACAAGGCAAAGGAGCCGAGUCUUCAAGCGGACAAGCCGGAGCGGACACGCGCUUGAAAGGAACGCUUUAAAGGUGAUGAUGGAAACUAACCGGAAGAUGAUCGAGCAAACUUUUGAAGAACCGAACACUAUCUACAAGCUUCCGCAAUGUUUUAAAUCUUUACUAGACUUGGUUUACGGGUUGUAAACAAUUGUUAAACAACUUUUGAAAUGUUUUAACUUAGUCGUUGGUUGACUUAAGAUUUUGC